CAGCCUGCCCAGUGACUCUGUUCAACGGCCGCGGUAUCCUAACCGUGCGAAGGUAGCGUAAUCACUUGUUCUUUAAAUGAGGACUAGUAUGAAUGGCACCACGAAGGUUAUACUGUCUCCUUUCUCUAAUCAGUGAAACUAAUCUCCCCGUGAAGAAGCGGGGAUGAAAAUAUAAGACGAGAAGACCCUAUGGAGCUUCAAACAAAUAUACAACUGCCUAUUCCACUAAAAAUUUCAGGAAAAAAACACCUAUCCAGGCACUUUGAUAUAGAGUUUUAGGUUGGGGUGACCACGGAGUAAAAAACAACCUCCGUAAUGAAAGGGAAUUUUCCCUAAACUAAGGACUACAACCCUAAGUAUCAAUAAAUUGACACCAAUUGACCCAAUACAUUUGACCAAUGAACCAAGUUACCCUAGGGAUAACAGCGCAAUCCACUUCAAGAGCCCCUAUCGACAAGUGGGUUUACGACCUCGAUGUUGGAUCAGGGUAUCCUAGUGGUGCAGCCGCUACUAACGGUUCGUUUGUUCAACGAUUAAAACCCUACGUGAUCUAU
Molecule: ribosomal RNA, 554 nt
Filed under: Leptodactylus cunicularius (rabbit-burrow frog)
Lineage: Eukaryota; Metazoa; Chordata; Amphibia; Anura; Leptodactylidae
Description: partial large subunit ribosomal RNA
Rfam family: Bacterial large subunit ribosomal RNA
Source: RNAcentral